AGCGAACGCUGGCGGUAGGCCUAACACAUGCAAGUCGAACGGCAGCACAGUAAGAGCUUGCUCUUACGGGUGGCGAGUGGCGGAUGGGUGAGGAAUAAAUCGGAAUCUACUUUUUCGUGGGGGAUAACGAAGGGAAACUUACGCUAAUACCGCAUACGACCUACGGGUGAAAGCAGGGGAUCUUCGGACCUUGCGCGAUUGAAUGAGCUGAUGGCGGUUUGGUUAGUUGGUGGGGUAAAGGCGCAGCAAGGUGAAGAUCGGUAGCUGGUCUGAGAGGAUGUACACCCACACUGAAACUGCACCACCGUCCAGACUCCUACAUGAGGCACCAGUUCCUAAUAUUGGACAAUGGGCGCAAUCCUGAUCCAUCCAUACCACCUGGAUGAAGAAACCCUUCGGGUUGUAAAACCCUUUUCUUGUUAAAAAAAAGCAUCACUUUAAUACCACCCUUUUCUGACGGUACCCAAAUAAUAAGCACCGGCUAACUUCGUG
RNAcentral lists this ribosomal RNA (492 nucleotides) under uncultured bacterium. RNAcentral describes it as "partial 16S ribosomal RNA". It matches the Rfam family "Bacterial small subunit ribosomal RNA", at positions 29 to 507 of the family's 1533-position model. The record is from RNAcentral.